This 253-nucleotide ribosomal RNA is filed under the name uncultured bacterium. RNAcentral describes it as "partial 16S ribosomal RNA". It matches the Rfam family "Bacterial small subunit ribosomal RNA", at positions 524 to 776 of the family's 1533-position model. The record is from RNAcentral.
UACGUAGGGUGCGAGCGUUGCCCGGAUUUAUUGGGCGUAAAGGGCGCGUAGGCGGCCACGCACGUCCGUUGUGAAAUCGCCCGGCUCAACUGGGCGGGGUCAGCGGAUACGGUGUGGCUCGAGCAAGCUAGGGGGCAAUGGAAUUCCCGGUGUAGUGGUGGAAUGCGUAGAUAUCAGGAGGAACACCGAUGGCGAAGGCAGGUCACUGGGCCGCAACUGACGCUGAGGAGCGAAAGCAUGGGGAGCGAACAGG